CCAGGCUUGAACUGCAGUUGACCGACCAUGAAAGUGGUUUUCCGCAAGGACAACUGUAGAGGUGCUGCAUGGCUGUCGUCAGCUCGUGUCGUGAGAUGUUGGGUUAAGUCCCGCAACGAGCGCAACCCUCGUCCUCUGUUGCCAUCACGUUAUGGUGGGCACUCUGAGGAGACUGCCGGUGAUAAACCGGAGGAAGGUGGGGAUGACGUCAAGUCAGCAUGGCCUUUAUGUCUGGGGCCACACACGUGCUACAAUGGCUGGUACAAACCGCUGCGAUCCCGCGAGGGGGAGCUAAUCGGAAAAAGCCAGUCUCAGUUCGGAUCGUAGGCUGCAACUCGCCUGCGUGAAGUCGGAAUCGCUAGUAAUCGCGGAUCAGCACGCCGCGGUGAAUACGUUCCC
This 399-nucleotide ribosomal RNA is filed under the name uncultured bacterium. RNAcentral describes it as "bacterial SSU rRNA". It matches the Rfam family "Bacterial small subunit ribosomal RNA", at positions 975 to 1375 of the family's 1533-position model. The record is from RNAcentral.